RNAcentral lists this non-coding RNA (2074 nucleotides) under Streptomyces caatingaensis. Its description in RNAcentral is "Bacterial large subunit ribosomal RNA". It matches the Rfam family "Bacterial large subunit ribosomal RNA", at positions 1 to 1887 of the family's 2925-position model. The record is from Rfam by way of RNAcentral. Lineage: Bacteria; Bacillati; Actinomycetota; Actinomycetes; Kitasatosporales; Streptomycetaceae.
GGCCAAGUUUUUAAGGGCGCACGGUGGAUGCCUUGGCACCAGGAACCGAUGAAGGACGUGGGAGGCCGCGAUAGGCCCCGGGGAGCUGUCAACCGAGCUGUGAUCCGGGGGUGUCCGAAUGGGGAAACCCGGCAGUCGUCAUGGGCUGUCACCCGCUGCUGAACACAUAGGCAGUGUGGAGGGAACGCGGGGAAGUGAAACAUCUCAGUACCCGCAGGAAGAGAAAACAACCGUGAUUCCGGGAGUAGUGGCGAGCGAAACUGGAUGAGGCCAAACCGUAUGCGUGUGAUACCCGGCAGGGGUUGCGUAUGCGGGGUUGUGGGAUCUCUCUUCUGUCGUCUGCCGGCGGCAGGACGAGUCAGAAACCGUUGAUGUAGGCGAAGGACAUGCGAAAGGUCCGGCGUAGAGGGUAAGACCCCCGUAGUCGAAACGUCAGCGGCUCGUUUGAGAGACACCCAAGUAGCACGGGGCCCGAGAAAUCCCGUGUGAAUCUGGCGGGACCACCCGUUAAGCCUAAAUAUUCCCUGGUGACCGAUAGCGGAUAGUACCGUGAGGGAAUGGUGAAAAGUACCGCGGGAGCGGAGUGAAAUAGUACCUGAAACCGUGUGCCUACAAGCCGUGGGAGCGUCGCAUCGAGUGCUUGCACUCGGUGUCGUGACUGCGUGCCUUUUGAAGAAUGAGCCUGCGAGUUUGCGGUGUGUUGCGAGGUUAACCCGUGUGGGGAAGCCGUAGCGAAAGCGAGUCCGAAGAGGGCGACCUAGUAGCGCGCCCAAGACCCGAAGCGGGGUGAUCUAGCCAUGGGCAGGUUGAAGCGGAGGUAAGACUUCGUGGAGGACCGAACCCACCAGGGUUGAAAACCUGGGGGAUGACCUGUGGUUAGGGGUGAAAGGCCAAUCAAACUCCGUGAUAGCUGGUUCUCCCCGAAAUGCAUUUAGGUGCAGCGUCGUGUGUUUCUUGCCGGAGGUAGAGCACUGGAUAGGCGAUGGGCCCUACCGGGUUACUGACCUUAGCCAAACUCCGAAUGCCGGUAAGUGAGAGCGCGGCAGUGAGACUGUGGGGGAUAAGCUCCAUGGUCGAGAGGGAAACAGCCCAGAGCAUCGACUAAGGCCCCUAAGCGUACGCUAAGUGGGAAAGGAUGUGGAGUCGCAGAGACAACCAGGAGGUUGGCUUAGAAGCAGCCACCCUUGAAAGAGUGCGUAAUAGCUCACUGGUCAAGUGAUUCCGCGCCGACAAUGUAGCGGGGCUCAAGCGUACCGCCGAAGUCGUGUCACUGCAGCAUGAGACCUAACGGUUGUUGUGGUGGGUAGGGGAGCGUCGUGUGCCGGGUGAAGCAGCGCCGGAAGGUAGUUGUGGACGGUUCACGAGUGAGAAUGCAGGCAUGAGUAGCGAUACACACGUGGGAAACGUGUGCGCCGAUUGACUAAGGGUUCCUGGGUCAAGCUGAUCUGCCCAGGGUAAGUCGGGACCUAAGGCGAGGCCGACAGGCGUAGUCGAUGGACAACCGGUUGAUAUUCCGGUACCCGCUUUGAAGCGCCAAACAUCGAAUCCUCUGAUGCUAAGCCCGUGAAGCCGCCCUGAGCUCUUCGGAGUGUAGGGGAGUGGUGGAGCCGGUGACCCGAGUGGUAGUAGGUGAGUGAUGGGGUGACGCAGGAAGGUAGUCCAGCCCGGGCGGUGGUUGUCCCGGGGUAAGGGUGUAGGCCGUGUGAUAGGCAAAUCCGUCACACAUGGGGCUGAGACCUGAUGCCGAGCCGAUUGUGGCGAAGUGGAUGAUCCUAUGCUGUCGAGAAAAGCCUCUAGCGAGUUUCAUGGCGGCCCGUACCCUAAACCGACUCAGGUGGUCAGGUAGAGAAUACCGAGGCGUUCGGGUGAACUAUGGUUAAGGAACUCGGCAAAAUGCCCCCGUAACUUCGGGAGAAGGGGGGCCAUUCCUGGUGAUGAGUUUUGCACUCGGAGCUGGGGGUGGCCGCAGAGACCAGCGAGAAGCGACUGUUUACUAAAAACACAGGUCCGUGCGAAGCCGUAAGGCGAUGUAUACGGACUGACGCCUGCCCGGUGCUGGAACGUUAAGGGGACC